UCAUUAUUGUUGUUGCUGCUUUCAGAUUUUCUUUUCCUUGAUGGGCUAAGCUCCUUGUCUGGAUUCUUGCUCAUAUAAUCCAUUAACUGGCCUCUCAAAGCGUNNNNNNACAUCACAGCUAGCAUUUCUGUCAGCUUCUUGUUUUCUGCGCUCACUCGGUUCAAUUCCUCUACCAAAGCUCCAUUCUCUUCUUUCAAUGAAACCUUCCUCCCCAACUCCAUAAAAUUGCUUUGAACUUCUUUCCAAACCUUUCUUGUACAGGAGCAACAUCUUUAGCACUUCGAGGAUUAACAUUAAGAUCCAAAGAAGUGUCUACCAAUGAAUAAGAAUAGUCCAUAGCCGCCGAAGUCGAACUAG
This 357-nucleotide unclassified non-coding RNA is filed under the name Hevea brasiliensis (rubber tree). The record is from RNAcentral. Lineage: Eukaryota; Viridiplantae; Streptophyta; Magnoliopsida; Malpighiales; Euphorbiaceae.